GAUGAAGAACGUAGCGAAAUGCGAUAAGUAAUGUGAAUUGCAGAAUUCAGUGAAUCAUCGAAUCUUUGAACGCAUCUUGCGCUCCUUGGUAUUCUGAGGAGCAUGCCUGUUUGAGUGUCAUUAAAUUCUCAACUACACUGACUUUGAAUUGGUGUGACUUGGAUUUGGGGGGAAAAUUGUUGUGGGCUUUUUGUAUAGUCUGCUCCCCUGAAAUUGAUUAGCGGUACCUUUGUGGAACUGUCUACAGGUGUGAUAAUUAUCUACAUCUUAGACAUCUGCUGGAAUGCUGCUUUCUAAACCUUACUUGUAUUGACAAUCUUGACCUCAAAUCAGGUAGGACUACCCGCUGAACUUAAGCAUAUCAAUAAGCGGAGGA
This 376-nucleotide unclassified non-coding RNA is filed under the name soil metagenome. RNAcentral describes it as "partial contains 5.8S ribosomal RNA, internal transcribed spacer 2, and large subunit ribosomal RNA". The stretch from base 1 to 120 matches the Rfam family "5.8S ribosomal RNA", at positions 35 to 154 of the family's 154-position model. The record is from RNAcentral.